This 61-nucleotide microRNA precursor is filed under the name Pristionchus pacificus. RNAcentral describes it as "mir-8364 microRNA precursor family". It matches the Rfam family "mir-8364 microRNA precursor family". Lineage: Eukaryota; Metazoa; Nematoda; Chromadorea; Rhabditida; Neodiplogasteridae. The record is from Rfam by way of RNAcentral.
UCUUCAUUUCGAGUACUCUCUCACCGGGCAGAGUGACGAGAGAGCAAUCGAAAUGAGGAGA